GUGGCUAUAGCUCAGCUGGUUAGAGCACUGGUUUGUGGUACCAGGGGUCGUGGGUUCGAACCCCAUUAGCCACCCUA
RNAcentral lists this transfer RNA (77 nucleotides) under Crocinitomicaceae bacterium. Its description in RNAcentral is "tRNA-His". It matches the Rfam family "tRNA". From Rfam's summary of the family: Transfer RNA (tRNA) molecules are approximately 80 nucleotides in length. Lineage: Bacteria; Pseudomonadati; Bacteroidota; Flavobacteriia; Flavobacteriales; Crocinitomicaceae. The record is from RNAcentral.